UCUCAUUUAGAGUAUCAGAAAAACUACCACGAGGUAAAUUAAAUGAUAAGCAAGUACUCUUUAAACCUGACUAAUGGCACUCUUGAGCCACCAUAGAAAUACUCUUAUGAUGCUUAUGAUGCGUGUGCGUGUGUGCGUGUGUGUGUGUGUGUGUGUGUGUGUGUGUGUGUGUGUGUGUGUGUGUGUGUGUGUGUGUGUGUGUGUGUGUGUGUGUGUGUGUGUGUGUGUGUGUGUGUGUGUGUGUGUGUGUGUGUGUGCGUGUCUCUCUCUUCUGGUGACACCUGUCUCUGUCUCACCUGCAGAGCCCUGAGACGGCGCAGAUGACCUUUGAGACGCUGAAGAACACGAUCGGUAAGUGAUGCUCAUAUUGUCUUUUGUUGUUUGUUGUUAUUUUGGUAGUUGAGUACAGAAGCCUUGAGAGGACAUGCUGGUGUUCUUGUGAUAAAGACUUAAAAUCAGCUGUUUUCUCCACAUGAAGUAGUUUUCACGGGUAAACCUGGAGGUUAUCUCGAGGUUACGACGGAAAGAAGUCGAGAAAGAAAACAGAAAUGACUCGUUAUCCUGAAAAUGAAAAUGUUUGGAUGUUUGUCCGCUUUGGGCUUCCUUAGUUUUUCCAUCAACACAUUUCUACACCUGACCUUAAAAAUGUUUGACGUCAGCUUGACUGGAUGAAGAUAAAUGUGUUUAAAAUCAAAGAUCCUAAAAACAUGAAGAUGAUCUUUGAGCUGAAUCAAAUAGAAUCCAGUUUUCAGACUCAUGAAGAAUUUAAAGAAUGAAAAUGUUCCUUUAGUGAGUUUGAAAUGUAACCGAAUGUUUAUCGAUGUGCGAGCUCGGCCGGUUGAAGUCGAUCGAGUCUCUGACUUGUGAACUUGUUUGUGUAGAGGAUCGGGGGAGCGUGGAGGAGGAGGAACGCAGGAGGAUGCAGCUGGUGGAGAAGUUUCAGACGGCUCCGUUUGAGGAGAUCGCCGCUCACUGUGGCGCCCGGACAUCGCUGCUUCAGUCCAAACUGGACGAGGUCGUCGAUCUGAUCAUGCGUCCGGUCACUUGCAGCCGCGCUCCACGCCGCUCUGUGAGAUGAAGUUCCCCGACCUCUGUGUUCAUUAGACGCUCAGCAGUUAUGUGUUCAGUAUCCAGGUAGGAGAGGAGACAAGGAGACAAGGAGGCAGGAGAGGGGGCAAGAAGGAAGGAUGCAGGAGACAAUGAGGCAGGAGAGGAGACAAGGAGACAAGAGAGGAGACAGGGAGACAAGGAGGAAGGAUGCAGGAGAGGAGACAAGAAGGUAGGAGAGGAGAUGAGGAGGCAGGAGAGGAGAUGAGGAGGCAAAAGAGGAGACAAGGAGGUAGGUUAAGAAAGAAAGGAAGGAGACUCACUUUAACUGCUUUUGAUGAUUUCAAAUAUUUUGUUUUGUUUUUGUCAGAAAAUAAUUUAUUGUUUCUGUGAUUUAAAUCAUUGAUUCAUUUUUGAUCCGUGUAUAAAAAAGAACGUUGUGAUGUUCCCUUGUUGUUGUGUUUGAUGUUUCUGUUUGAGACCGGAGUGAAAAAAUAAAUUAUUUGACUUUAA
Labrus mixtus (cuckoo wrasse) is the source of this 1560-nucleotide RNA transcript. It is a transcript of the gene named protein EFR3 homolog B-like, with no coding region annotated. The record is from RefSeq and is a predicted model, not a curated record. The transcript is spliced from 3 exons. NCBI's taxonomy places the organism in Eukaryota, Metazoa, Chordata, Actinopteri, Labriformes, Labridae.